This is a non-coding RNA of Oryza sativa Japonica Group (Japanese rice), 1595 nucleotides long. NCBI's taxonomy places the organism in Eukaryota, Viridiplantae, Streptophyta, Magnoliopsida, Poales, Poaceae. The record is from RefSeq and is a predicted model, not a curated record.
GCCAGAUAACAUGUAUAUGUAUUCAAGAAUGUGAAAACAUGUUUGAGUUACAGACGGAAAUUCUCAGAAAUUUUUGAAAGAUAUUGUUUCUAAAUAAAUUUUGACAUCUGAACAGAUUUUCAGCGCAGUCAAAUAAAUAGAAUGGUCAAAGAAGAAAGGAAGGUGCAGUACAUUAAUAUUUUGGAAAAUUCUGAACGUUUUGCAGAGUACUGCAGGGAUCAAAAUUCUGAAACAACGACAAUGGAGAACCAUGUUACAUCUGCACUGCAAUAUGCGGAAAAAGCCUCUGUAAUUCUAUUAUUCUUUGGUGAUAUCACCAUGACUAAGUACCAUUUUUGCCACAUGUAAAACCAUGACACAUAUUGUAACCUCAUGUCCCAGAGGGAGAUGUAGCACAUCAACAAAGCCUCGCGCUGCCGAUGUGUCCCUAAGAAGCCUAGUUACCCUUUGGACACAUUGUCUAUCCAAGAAAUGUUGUGUUCUAUACUAUCCCGAUGACUCCUCGUCCUAAAUUUGUAAUAGUAUAGUAUUUUUGUUUUUUAAACACGUAAUAGUAUAGUAGAAUAACACACUGUAGAACAACAUAAGCAUGUGUUCUAUUUUAGUGCUAUAUUGCUACCUAUAUGAACUAUAAAUGCUUGUUGGAAGUAACCCAGUUUCAUACACACCAGUAUUAUUUAACGAGUCACAGCUGAUAUACGCGACCAGACUACUUUGAUUUUAUUCUGUUUUAUACAGUACUCGUUCUAUUUCAAUGAGUUCACGAAUUGGACCAGUGAGUACUAUAUGAAUCGGGAUAAAUUGUACUAGCUAGUGAUCCAAUAUAAUUGGUGUAGCUGUUUCCCUGUACUCGAAGGUGUUGCCCUAAAUGCUAACAAUCUCUCCCAUAACAUAUCAAGUGGCUCAAUUCUAGUGAUCCAGCGUAGUGUGAGGCUUAAAAAAAGACCAUCUCUAUAAUAAGUGUAUGAGGCUUACAAAAAUAUAUCCAUAGUUCAACGAAUCAAGAAAAUCUUUGUCUCAAGCGGUGAUUCCGUCUCAAUCGAGAUAUCUCCAACCUUCUUGGUCACCCUUACACCCCGGGUGGAAGCUGAACCAUGGCUCACGCCACCCUGUAGCCGAUGUAGCCUCGCCACUUGAUGUUGUGAACACAGAGGCAGAAUCCUGUGCUGAUAUAAGAGAAAACCUAUCUUGUACUGUCCUGAUGCCUCCCAAUUCUAGCGCUGCUACAACAGUGGAAGCCCAGAACAUGUGAAACAAUCGAAGCAACUAGCUGGGUUUUCGCAUGUGGCCAGCCACGCUGUAUGCGUCGUAAGGCAUAUGAAAAUCAUAUAUCUCAUAGGUCGGGUGGGCGGGCGCCUGUAAUUAAAAGUCGAUUUUCAUAGAUAAGUCUCUUAAGAUAUAUCUGUCUACGAAAAUAUAUUUUCACAUACAGCUAAUCUAUGUUGUCCCGAUAACUUACGUAGUAGUAGUAGUAGUGUGCAUUAUUAUCGUUGUUAUAUUCUGCGGCUAAUUAAAAUUCUGAGUUCCUCACUGAAAGAUACGAACAACAUAUUUAGUUACAUAUUGAGGCAGAAUUUGUUCCACGAUAAAUUCAA